This 786-nucleotide ribosomal RNA is filed under the name uncultured Gammaproteobacteria bacterium. Its description in RNAcentral is "bacterial SSU rRNA". It matches the Rfam family "Bacterial small subunit ribosomal RNA", at positions 92 to 873 of the family's 1533-position model. Lineage: Bacteria; Pseudomonadati; Pseudomonadota; Gammaproteobacteria. The record is from RNAcentral.
CUAGCGGCGGACGGGUGAGUAAUGCUUAGGAAUCUGCCUAUUAGUGGGGGACAACAUUCCGAAAGGAAUGCUAAUACCGCAUACGCCCUACGGGGGAAAGCAGGGGAUCUUCGGACCUUGCGCUAAUAGAUGAGCCUAAGUCAGAUUAGCUAGUUGGUGGGGUAAAGGCCUACCAAGGCGACGAUCUGUAGCGGGUCUGAGAGGAUGAUCCGCCACACUGGGACUGAGACACGGCCCAGACUCCUACGGGAGGCAGCAGUGGGGAAUAUUGGACAAUGGGCGCAAGCCUGAUCCAGCCAUGCCGCGUGUGUGAAGAAGGCCUUUUGGUUGUAAAGCACUUUAAGCGAGGAGGAGGCUACCGAGAUUAAUACUCUUGGAUAGUGGACGUUACUCGCAGAAUAAGCACCGGCUAACUCUGUGCCAGCAGCCGCGGUAAUACAGAGGGUGCGAGCGUUAAUCGGAUUUACUGGGCGUAAAGCGUGCGUAGGCGGCUUUUUAAGUCGGAUGUGAAAUCCCUGAGCUUAACUUAGGAAUUGCAUUCGAUACUGGGAAGCUAGAGUAUGGGAGAGGAUGGUAGAAUUCCAGGUGUAGCGGUGAAAUGCGUAGAGAUCUGGAGGAAUACCGAUGGCGAAGGCAGCCAUCUGGCCUAAUACUGACGCUGAGGUACGAAAGCAUGGGGAGCAAACAGGAUUAGAUACCCUGGUAGUCCAUGCCGUAAACGAUGUCUACUAGCCGUUGGGGCCUUUGAGGCUUUAGUGGCGCAGCUAACGCGAUAAGUAGACCGCC